AAACUAUUAUAUGAAUAAAUAUUAUAGCACCUUAAUUGAAUUGGUCGAUAUGCUGGUAACUAAGGGAUCUUGAAAAGUUCAGAGGUACAAAUCUGAAGAACCUAAAGAAUUAUUUACAUACUUUUGGAAAGUAUGUCGAAUUGCUCAAAUUGAUCUUAUGAUUUUCUCUUUUUUAUUAGACUCUAGUGUAUAUUACACACUUUAAUAUAAGGUCUA
RNAcentral lists this long non-coding RNA (216 nucleotides) under Elaeis guineensis (African oil palm). RNAcentral's name for it is "long non-coding RNA (EGUI_LNC067422)". Lineage: Eukaryota; Viridiplantae; Streptophyta; Magnoliopsida; Arecales; Arecaceae. The record is from RNAcentral.